Salmo salar (Atlantic salmon) is the source of this 54-nucleotide non-coding RNA. The record is from Rfam. Lineage: Eukaryota; Metazoa; Chordata; Actinopteri; Salmoniformes; Salmonidae.
UUGAGAAAAAUUUGUAAUUCGCUCUGGAUAAGAGCGUCUGCUAAAUGACUAAAA